Molecule: transfer RNA, 74 nt
Filed under: Carboxydocella thermautotrophica
Lineage: Bacteria; Bacillati; Bacillota; Clostridia; Eubacteriales; Clostridiales Family XVI. Incertae Sedis
Also listed under: 3 other names
Description: tRNA-Pro
Rfam family: tRNA
About the family: Transfer RNA (tRNA) molecules are approximately 80 nucleotides in length. Their secondary structure includes four short double-helical elements and three loops (D, anti-codon, and T loops).
Source: RNAcentral
CGGGGCGUAGCGCAGUUUGGUAGCGCGCCACAUUCGGGAUGUGGAGGCCGCAGGUUCGAAUCCUGUCGCCCCGA